GGAUUAGCUAGUUGGUGAGGUAAUGGCUCACCAAGGCGACGAUCCCUAGCUGGUCUGAGAGGAUGAUCAGCCACACUGGAACUGAGACACGGUCCAGACUCCUACGGGAGGCAGCAGUGGGGAAUAUUGCACAAUGGGCGAAAGCCUGAUGCAGCCAUGCCGCGUGUAUGAAGAAGGCCUUCGGGUUGUAAAGUACUUUCAGUUGUGAGGAAGGGGGUAUCGUUAAUAGCGGCAUCUCUUGACGUUAGCAACAGAAGAAGCACCGGCUAACUCCGUGCCAGCAGCCGCGGUAAUACGGAGGGUGCGAGCGUUAAUCGGAAUUACUGGGCGUAAAGCGCAUGCAGGUGGUUCAUUAAGUCAGAUGUGAAAGCCCGGGGCUCAACCUCGGAACUGCAUUUGAAACUGGUGAACUAGAGUACUGUAGAGGGGGGUAGAA
RNAcentral lists this ribosomal RNA (436 nucleotides) under Vibrio sp. HI00D65. RNAcentral describes it as "bacterial SSU rRNA". It matches the Rfam family "Bacterial small subunit ribosomal RNA", at positions 238 to 666 of the family's 1533-position model. The record is from RNAcentral. Lineage: Bacteria; Pseudomonadati; Pseudomonadota; Gammaproteobacteria; Vibrionales; Vibrionaceae.